CCUCCGGAAGUCCCGCCUCCAUACUUCGCCCGGUCCUGUCCUCCGGGCAGUCCCUCUCAGGUGCGUGAGUGCUGAACUCCGUGUUAUCUGUUAGUGUUAGCACUCGUUUCGAGGGUGGGUGUUCCAACUGGGGCUGUCCUUGCCCGUUGCCAUGGUGGCCAAAGCCCUCGAGAGGCGAGGCCACCGAGCUUCGCCCUCACCUGGUUGAUGUCCAGGCGCUUCCUCAAGCCACGGGGCGGAACAUGGAAAUUGAAAGAAAAAUUUUCAACACAAAAGGUAGUCUUUGGUUUACAUAAGAAAGAUUUCCAAGACUUAUGUCUUACCGUUAGAAAACAGUGAGCAAAAUAAAAGUAUGAGCAAGUAUCUGCCCAUUUACUGGAACCAAGAUAUAGUGGCUGGGACUACUCUGCCAUUUGGGUUAUUGUAGAAGACACUUGCCAGUUACGAGGACUCGGCUAACACCCGUGGGCAGCUGGGAUGAGCCCUAAGCAAAACAAACAUUCCCAGCCCAAGUGGUCUGAUGAGACAGACCAUCCUGCCGUGACAAGUUGCAUCCAGUAACUGAAGAGGAAACAGCCCACUUUUCGUUGUCAGCAGUGAUUUGCAGUAAACAACAGAUAUAAUAGCUGAUUUGUUUUCAGAAAAAAAUAAAAAACCAGGAGAUUGUAACUUAAACAUUUACCUGGGGGCAUCCAGGAGUACAGUGGAAGGGUGGGCGUGCUUCCUGCCAGACUGGUCUCAGGCAUUGGAGGUGUAAACGGAUUGGGCAUUUGGUUCAGAUGUGAACCAAACCAAACUGUACUUGGUAUUCCUGGGUCCAAUGGUCUUGCUCCAAACCUGUGCACAUGAUAGGAUUCACUGCUCCAGCAGGGUACGUGGGGUUGGCUGCUCAGGCCUGUUGGCUGGUGACUUGCAUUACUAUAGUUAGCUGCACUGGGAUAAGCAGGACCUUUUACCCGAGUGUUCUGAGCACUCUCAUUAGGUCUUGGCUGUGCAAAGGGGUCAUGAGAGACCCUUCGUCUCCUCUCCUCCUCUAUAUUAUAAGCCAUGUGCUGAGUGGACUGCUGUUUGGUCUGCUUGUCUAUACGGCUGCCAAAUAAAUGAUAGUUGGCUUCCUCUUGGAGUUUAUGCUGCAGAAUGGGCUCAUACUCUUCUUGUUGGCGUUCCAUGGAGGCAGAAAAAUAGGACUCCUCCACAGGUCCCGUCCCGAGUGGCUGGGAACUAUGCAGCGAGCCGGGCUGUUCUGCAGCAGAGAAGAAAUGAUCAGUGUGAGUUUGGUGAAACAUUAAAAAGUGAAAUAGAAUCCAUGCAUCAUCAUGAAUUUAUCCUUCAAAUUAACGUUCUGAAAACAGGAGAGAAAAGUAAAAGGCACUUAGUGUGUGUUCCUCUUCUUGGGAGUUUUGCAGAUAAUCGGUAAGAGCUCUUGGCUAGCAGGGAAGAGCCUGAGGGAGAUCAGAACAGGCAAGGGGGUGCCAGGGAGGACUAUGGAAGAGGGACCUGGCCUUCAGCAGAGAAAGUGACUGUCAUCUUGGAAUGGUCGAGGGAGGGAGAAUAGCAGUAGCCUAUAUGGGAGUAGGAGCAGUUAUUUUCACAAUUUGAUGGAUGAGGUUUUGGUGAAGUUAAAUAGUUUGUGCCACAGCAGACCGAAGUGGCCUCAGUAUCCUAUACUUUGCUUUCCCUCUGUCAUAAUGAAAAAAGUAUCUCUGCUUGAACUGGAGACCAAACUCUCUGCUUGUGCCCUGAAUCGUGUCAACUCCGACCUCCUCAGGGACUCCAUCCCAACAAAUAAACCUCAUCUUUCUCCUCAACCAUGGCUUUCUUCCCAUCCAACAUGAGGCCUCUUGUGUUCAAGACACUAGGAUUUUGGUGAGCAUACUGCGGUAGAUUGACAACUGAUGGUCACCUUGUAACACCAGCUGAACUGAAUCAGCUUGGCGCUGAGCAUGGCAGGAUUAUUGCCAAGAUAAAAAAAGAGACCUGGAGAGGAACAAUUUGGAGCUGUUGGUUCUUUUGGGGCUGUUGAGUCUCCUGGAGGAGCUUGUCAUCUGGCUUCCCUGAUAUGUACUCGACUAUUAUCAUCGGAGGAGCUCAGGACCUUGUCCCUGAAAGGCACUGUGUUCACUUUGGAGGAGCUUUGGUCCUUACUUUGAGCAUCACUUCCUGGCUCUGGGAGGAAGAUGUGUGAUGUUCAAUCUCCAGAAGCUCGUCACACUGGCUUCCUGAUACUCCGUUGUUCUCAUCACUGAAGGAUCUUAGGACCUUGUUGUCACUGAGGCUGGCUGUGGUACUUUUCGGAUAAGCCCUGGUCCUUAUUUUGAGCGUCACUUCUUGGCUCUAGGACAGAACCUUUAGCCUGCUAGCACAGAUCCUUCACUCCGCUGGCAGACUUUCUGGCUUCUACUGCUGACCUUUGGGCCUUCCCAGCACAGAUCAGUGAAAUAGAUUUGCAUGAGUUCAUUGUCUUUGGCUCCAGGCCUCCAGUUGGACUCGUGGGAGGCACUGUCAUGACCUCUAGGUCUUCAACCCUGGACUCAUGCAGGACACUGCUGUGGGAUCCAGGCCCUCAGCUGGAUUUCUUGGGUCUUAAUGUGUGGACAUAUUUUCUGCAUUUCUUGUGUUUAACUCUUUGGGUAACUAUUACAAAAUAAUUGUGCAAAUUAUGUGUCCUGUAUUGUCUUGUUCUUGUAGUCCCUAACUACAACACACACUAAUAUUGUAAAACUAUGUAACUGGACAUCUAAAUAUACUUGAAGUUCCUUUAAGACAGGUGUUCAAUUUUAUAGUUUGUUCUGUUUCCCAUAUGAUUUUGAGUAGUUUUCUGUUUUUUUUUUUAAGUUUUUUUGAGGCAAGGUCUCUCUUGCUAUGUAAUUCAGGUUGGCCUUGAAUUCACCAUGUAGCCCAGACUACCCUUGAACUUGUGAUCUUCCUGCCUCAGCCUCCCAAGUCCUGAGACUACAGGUAUGCAUCACCCUGCCUGACUCUUGAGUAGUGUUUUAGAGAACAGAAUGAAUGAAUGAGCAAAUAAAGAAAUUUGAACUGUGGA
Long non-coding RNA from Cavia porcellus (domestic guinea pig), 3043 nucleotides. RefSeq lists it as uncharacterized. The record is from RefSeq and is a predicted model, not a curated record. The transcript is spliced from 2 exons. NCBI's taxonomy places the organism in Eukaryota, Metazoa, Chordata, Mammalia, Rodentia, Caviidae.